GGAUGAACGCUGGCGGCGUGCCUAAUACAUGCAAGUCGAGCGAACGGACGAGAAGCUUGCUUCUCUGAUGUUAGCGGCGGACGGGUGAGUAACACGUGGAUAACCUACCUAUAAGACUGGGAUAACUUCGGGAAACCGGAGCUAAUACCGGAUAAUAUUUUGAACCGCAUGGUUCAAAAGUGAAAGACGGUCUUGCUGUCACUUAUAGAUGGAUCCGCGCUGCAUUAGCUAGUUGGUAAGGUAACGGCUUACCAAGGCAACGAUGCAUAGCCGACCUGAGAGGGUGAUCGGCCACACUGGAACUGAGACACGGUCCAGACUCCUACGGGAGGCAGCAGUAGGGAAUCUUCCGCAAUGGGCGAAAGCCUGACGGAGCAACGCCGCGUGAGUGAUGAAGGUCUUCGGAUCGUAAAACUCUGUUAUUAGGGAAGAACAUAUGUGUAAGUAGCUGUGCACAUCUUGACGGUACCUAAUCAGAAAGCCACGGCUAACUACGUG
This 498-nucleotide ribosomal RNA is filed under the name uncultured bacterium. RNAcentral's name for it is "partial 16S ribosomal RNA". It matches the Rfam family "Bacterial small subunit ribosomal RNA", at positions 27 to 507 of the family's 1533-position model. The record is from RNAcentral.